Molecule: transfer RNA, 71 nt
Filed under: Loxodonta africana (African savanna elephant)
Lineage: Eukaryota; Metazoa; Chordata; Mammalia; Proboscidea; Elephantidae
Rfam family: tRNA
About the family: Transfer RNA (tRNA) molecules are approximately 80 nucleotides in length. Their secondary structure includes four short double-helical elements and three loops (D, anti-codon, and T loops). Further hydrogen bonds mediate the characteristic L-shaped molecular structure. tRNAs have two regions of fundamental functional importance: the anti-codon, which is responsible for specific mRNA codon recognition, and the 3' end, to which the tRNAs corresponding amino acid is attached (by aminoacyl-tRNA synthetases). tRNAs cope with the degeneracy of the genetic code in two manners: having more than one tRNA (with a specific anti-codon) for a particular amino acid; and 'wobble' base-pairing, i.e. permitting non-standard base-pairing at the 3rd anti-codon position.
Source: Rfam by way of RNAcentral
GCAGUGGUGGUUCAGUGAUAGAGUUUUCACCUUCCAUGUGGGAGACCUGGGUUCUAUUCCUGGCCAGUGCA